ACGCGAUCCAUCUUACAGUUAUAGAAUCACCGAGACAUAGAAAAUACAUCAUUAAUCUUAUACUACAUUUUUUUAUUCUUUCUUUUCUUUCCACUACUUUUGCUCCCCACUUCAUUUUGCCACUAACUCCACUUCUUCACUAUCACCAUUAUAUUUGUCAAGCCACCACAAUAAUUCUUCCACUUAGCCUACAUCAACUCACGUAAACCAAAUUCUCCUUUAAUAAUUCAGCAGCAAUACAUAUUCUUCAUACUCCACUUAGUCGACUCCAGCCAAGAACACCAUAUUCUUCAUCCUCCACUUAGAA
Molecule: long non-coding RNA, 307 nt
Filed under: Salvia miltiorrhiza (redroot sage)
Lineage: Eukaryota; Viridiplantae; Streptophyta; Magnoliopsida; Lamiales; Lamiaceae
Description: long non-coding RNA (SMIL_LNC013179)
Source: RNAcentral